GGGGAAAACGUGGUUCCUGUAAAAUGGAGUUUACUUUAGAUUAGCAGAUUGUUUUUUGGAAGUGUGCGUUUAUGACUGCAAAACCACACACCCAUAUGCAUACUACUCAUGUUCAACCCCAUCAAUGUGUACCUCCUUAUGUCAAAUACAAGAGCCUGAACGCCA
Boleophthalmus pectinirostris (great blue-spotted mudskipper) is the source of this 165-nucleotide long non-coding RNA. RefSeq lists it as uncharacterized. NCBI's taxonomy places the organism in Eukaryota, Metazoa, Chordata, Actinopteri, Gobiiformes, Gobiidae. The transcript is spliced from 2 exons. The record is from RefSeq and is a predicted model, not a curated record.